Molecule: ribosomal RNA, 305 nt
Filed under: uncultured bacterium
Lineage: Bacteria
Description: bacterial SSU rRNA
Rfam family: Bacterial small subunit ribosomal RNA
Source: RNAcentral
UUAGCCUACGGGGCGCAGCAGUAGGGAAUUUUCGUCAAUGGGCGCAAGCCUGAACGAGCGAUGCCGCGUGAGUGAAGAAGUCAUUCGUGAUGUAAAGCUCUAUCAGCAGGGAAGAAAAUGACGGUACCUGAGUAAGAAGCCCCGGCUAACUACGUGCCAGCAGCCGCGGUAAUACGUAGGGGGCAAGCGUUAUCCGGAUUUACUGGGUGUAAAGGGAGCGUAGACGGCCAGACAAGUCUGAAGUGAAAAUCCAGCGCUUAACGUUGGAAGUGCUUUGGAAACUGCCGGGCUGGAGUGCAGGAGGG